CGCGCCCCAUAAUUCGAGUCUGCAGCGAACAGCCCGCGGCGACAGAUCCAUGGCGGCGGCGCUCCGGUCAAAGGCCGGCCUCGCGCUCCGGCCGCCCUCCCGCCUCUCUUCCGCCGCGCCCGCCAACUCCGCCGCCGGGGCGCGGGCGAUGUUCACCGAUGGCCGCAGGGCGGCGCCGACGGGGGGUGGCCGGAUAUUUGCUUUUCCUUCGUCGCCUUGACAGGAUCAAUCAUCUUCGCUUGGAUUGCGUUUGAUGGCGACGGGCCGGAUGGGUGCGUACGGGGACGAGGUGGAGGAGGACGACGAGGCAGAUGAGCUAGUCGUGGCUCGUGGAGUAGUUCAGGUAGACUAGUGCUUAAUGUGUGCCUUGGCUAUCUUCAGUUGUAAAGAAAUUGUUGCCUGAAUAAUCAAACUAUACUAUUAUUAUUCCACGCACAAUGGGAACAGAGAGUUUGAUGAGUU
Molecule: long non-coding RNA, 462 nt
Organism: Triticum aestivum (bread wheat)
Lineage: Eukaryota; Viridiplantae; Streptophyta; Magnoliopsida; Poales; Poaceae
Exons: 3
Source: RefSeq, a predicted model, not a curated record